GAUGAACGCUAGCUACAGGCUUAACACAUGCAAGUCGAGGGGCAGCAUGGUCUUAGCUUGCUAAGGCCGAUGGCGACCGGCGCACGGGUGAGUAACACGUAUCCAACCUGCCGUCUACUCUUGGACAGCCUUCUGAAAGGAAGAUUAAUACAAGAUGGCAUCAUGAGUCCGCAUGUUCACAUGAUUAAAGGUAUUCCGGUAGACGAUGGGGAUGCGUUCCAUUAGAUAGUAGGCGGGGUAACGGCCCACCUAGUCUUCGAUGGAUAGGGGUUCUGAGAGGAAGGUCCCCCACAUUGGAACUGAGACACGGUCCAAACUCCUACGGGAGGCAGCAGUGAGGAAUAUUGGUCAAUGGGCGAGAGCCUGAACCAGCCAAGUAGCGUGAAGGAUGACUGCCCUAUGGGUUGUAAACUUCUUUUAUAAAGGAAUAAAGUCGGGUAUGGAUACCCGUUUGCAUGUACUUUAUGAAUAAGGAUCGGCUAACUCCGUGCCAGCAGCCGCGGUAAUACGGAGGAUCCGAGCGUUAUCCGGAUUUAUUGGGUUUAAAGGGAGCGUAGAUGGAUGUUUAAGUCAGUUGUGAAAGUUUGCGGCUCAACCGUAAAAUUGCAGUUGAUACUGGAUAUCUUGAGUGCAGUUGAGGCAGGCGGAAUUCGUGGUGUAGCGGUGAAAUGCUUAGAUAUCACGAAGAACUCCGAUUGCGAAGGCAGCCUGCUAAGCUGCAACUGACAUUGAGGCUCGAAAGUGUGGGUAUCAAACAGGAUUAGAUACCCUGGUAGUCCACACGGUAAACGAUGAAUACUCGCUGUUUGCGAUAUACUGCAAGCGGCCAAGCGAAAGCGUUAAGUAUUCCACCUGGGGAGUACGCCGGCAACGGUGAAACUCAAAGGAAUUGACGGGGGCCCGCACAAGCGGAGGAACAUGUGGUUUAAUUCGAUGAUACGCGAGGAACCUUACCCGGGCUUAAAUUGCAGAUGAAUUACGGUGAAAGCCGUAAGCCGCAAGGCAUCUGUGAAGGUGCUGCAUGGUUGUCGUCAGCUCGUGCCGUGAGGUGUCGGCUUAAGUGCCAUAACGAGCGCAACCCUUGUUGUCAGUUACUAACAGGUUCCGCUGAGGACUCUGACAAGACUGCCAUCGUAAGAUGUGAGGAAGGUGGGGAUGACGUCAAAUCAGCACGGCCCUUACGUCCGGGGCUACACACGUGUUACAAUGGGGGGUACAGAGGGCCGCUACCACGCGAGUGGAUGCCAAUCCCCAAAACCUCUCUCAGUUCGGACUGGAGUCUGCAACCCGACUCCACGAAGCUGGAUUCGCUAGUAAUCGCGCAUCAGCCACGGCGCGGUGAAUACGUUCCCGGGCCUUGUACACACCGCCCGUCAAGCCAUGGGAGCCGGGGGUACCUGAAGUGCGUAACCGCGAGGAGCGCCCUAGGGUAAAACUGGUGACUG
Molecule: ribosomal RNA, 1445 nt
Filed under: uncultured organism
Description: SSU rRNA
Rfam family: Bacterial small subunit ribosomal RNA
Source: RNAcentral